Molecule: ribosomal RNA, 253 nt
Filed under: uncultured bacterium
Lineage: Bacteria
Description: partial 16S ribosomal RNA
Rfam family: Bacterial small subunit ribosomal RNA
Source: RNAcentral
UACGUAGGGUGCGAGCGUUGUCCGGAAUUACUGGGCGUAAAGAGCUCGUAGGUGGUUUGUCGCGUUGUUCGUGAAAACUCACGGCUUAACUGUGAGCGUGCGGGCGAUACGGGCAGACUGGAGUACUGCAGGGGAGACUGGAAUUCCUGGUGUAGCGGUGGAAUGCGCAGAUAUCAGGAGGAACACCGGUGGCGAAGGCGGGUCUCUGGGCAGUAACUGACGCUGAGGAGCGAAAGCGUGGGGAGCAAACAGG